This is a long non-coding RNA of Apodemus sylvaticus (European woodmouse), 2345 nucleotides long. RefSeq lists it as uncharacterized. The transcript is spliced from 2 exons. NCBI's taxonomy places the organism in Eukaryota, Metazoa, Chordata, Mammalia, Rodentia, Muridae. The record is from RefSeq and is a predicted model, not a curated record.
GGGACAGAGAAAAGAAAGAUGCAAAACAAUAAGCAGACAGCUGCUGAAAUAGGGAAGCCGUGACGUCACUCUGCAGAAAGCAGAACACCCUGUCCCACUCCAGAACUUCAAAACAAGCACCUCUCCGGAGUCGAGCACCCAGCUCUCUGGAGCAGCUAUAGCGUCCACCUGGCCCGGGCAGGAUCUUACAGAGCUGAAGCGGGCCUUGAACUCACUGCGUGCAAGUAUGGCUGGGAACUCAUGAUCCUCCUGCAUCUGCCUCCCCAGUGUUGGGAAUACAAGUAUGCGCCAUCACCCAGAGACAGUUCUCACAUGGGGGUGAGGAGUCACAUCAUAAAGUCUUGAGGCACCCUGCCUACCUACAACAAACGUUGGCAUUGUUGAGCAAGUGAUACACCGUGACUGCAGGAAGUCAUAGAUGUAAAUAACCCGACUUCGGAAAACAAAGCAUCAAACCAGAGCAACUCGAGCAACAAUCAAAGCGGCCUUUCUUCAUAAACAACGCUUUGAUCCUGAGAACUUCUAUGAAGUAUACAGUAGUGGUUUGGUUUUGAAAUAGAUCUUGCCCACCAUAUCAGAGUAUAUGUUCCUUCCUUGGUCCCUUUCAUCUUGAUGAUAAUUUAGAAACCUCAGAACUCCCUUUUAUAGGAAGAGGCUCUUUGAGCAUUUCCUCUCUGCUUCAAGGACAAUCCCUCAGAGGAGGGCAGUUAGCUGGCCAGCCAGCGUUUCUGGAGGUCAUGCCUGGCACAGCUUCUCUUGGACAAUCUGAGCUCCUGCUGGGCCACCUCCUCCUCCCUUCCCCUUCCUUCAUAUCCUCUUCUCUCCAGGGCCAGAUGCUAGACCUGCAGUUCCUGCUGAAUCACGACUCAGUACUUAGUUUAGCCAAGAAGUAUGAACACCUAACUCAGCAUUUUCCAAGAGCUGAGUACUUUCUUUCUUUGGUACUGGCUAAACAUGGCUUUGAGCUGGGCAGGGUAGUAGAGAAGAGAUAAAAAUGAAACACUUGGAGAACAGGAGUAUCAUGCCACAUCACGGCAUGGAGACUCAUCUUAACCCUAGUUUAUACCUUUCCAACUGUGUCUGCAAUGUCUUGUCUCAUUCCCCAGAUCUCAGAGCUGAUGCCCCAGACACAGGGCUAAUGACUGCUUCUGUUAUGUCUGCCCAGCAGAGUUUGACUGACUCUGUAUCACCUUCAGACCUGGGGGAGUGGAUAUGGGUCCUAGGAGGGCUGUUGGGUUCUCAGCUUAGAGGUUCACGGACUCAGUGUUCACCAAGAUCUAUAAACUUGCUGUGAGUUCUCCACAUGGUUCAGUUAUAACCCAACGGCGAGGGCAGCUAGUACUCAGACUCAUCAAAGGAACUAAUUUUGUGCCUUCUUUCAUUCAGUACCAGUAGGGCCUCACCCUCGUAAUCCCGUAAGCCCUCUGAGUUCAUGCUCUCUGGCAUGUGAUGGAAAUGUGGCCCAUAACGUUAAUCCUUCAGUCAGAGUUCAGCAGACUAGCAGAUGAUUUCAUGAACUACAUCUAUGAGUUCCCUUGGGAAAAACAAGGUGAUCUUUGAGAGCGGUAACAGAAAGGAAAGAGAGCCCAUGCUUCUAUGUUGGCACAAGCCAGAAAGGGGUAUCUUCCCCUUGGAAGCUGAACUCCCAGAAGACUUGUUUCAGGAAUCCUCAAGCCUCUUUGUUAUUUCCCCAAACAGGGAAGAAACAGUUCUGGACACAAACGCUUCGUUCCACAGUUUACAGGAUGGGAGCGUUAGCAAAACUCCAGUCUGAGAGUGAUAGGAAAGCUAGAGGCUACUAGAGAUGCUCACAAAGGCAGAACCCAAGCACAGUGAAACUAGACAGAUUUACUUCUCAGGAGGCCAGUGGAGAGCCAUAGCCUGGCCGGAGGACUGGCAGGACUCAAACCAGUGGCUCCAGGAAGUCUCUAGGAACAUGGCCACCCAGCUCUCUGUGCUGUAUGUAACUGCUUACUGUGAUAUUUCAAAUAUAAAGCCCCGUGCCUGCAGUUGUUCUUUUUAUUGGAGAUCAAGACUGAGUCCCUGUUAGACACAUACAGCGAAUGUGACCGAGGUGCCCUCAAUUCCAGUGCAACAGGAAAAAACAACACCCCGGGGCCUCAUAGGAAAGGGAAGUGGCACUUAGCAUUUGUCCUGGCCCUGGAGUCAUAAAGCCCAAAGGGACAGGGGGUAUCUUCUUCAAGUCCUGGUAAUGGCUCUGAGUGACAGGGACAGCAUCCAACUACCCACAAUAGGGUGAAGACAUUAAAAUAAGAUCUAGUGUCAUCCUUGAUAUAUUUAUAUAUAUUCCCAUUAAAAUAAAAAAGUGCCCUCUGACUCUUCCA